RNAcentral lists this ribosomal RNA (706 nucleotides) under uncultured Bacteroidota bacterium. RNAcentral's name for it is "bacterial SSU rRNA". It matches the Rfam family "Bacterial small subunit ribosomal RNA", at positions 81 to 785 of the family's 1533-position model. Lineage: Bacteria; Pseudomonadati; Bacteroidota. The record is from RNAcentral.
GGGCAGCAAUGUCACCGUCGCACGGGUGCGUAACGCGUAUGCAACCUACCUAUCACAGGGGGAUAGCCUUUGGAAACAGGGAUUAAUACCGCAUAAAGCAGGGGCUCCGCAUGGAGAUAUUGCUAAAGAUUUAUCGGUGAUAGAUGGGCAUGCGUCUGAUUAGUUAGAUGGUGGGGUAACGGCCUACCAUGGCGAUGAUCAGUAGGGGGCGUCAGAGCGUGGUCCCCCACACUGGCACUGAGAUACGGGCCAGACUCCUACGGGAGGCAGCAGUAGGGAAUAUUGGGCAAUGGAUGCAAGUCUGACCCAGCCAUGCCGCGUGAAGGAAGAAGGUCCUCUGGAUUGUAAACUUCUUUUGUCGGGGAAGAAGAGUCAUCUUGCGAGGUGAUGUGACGGUACCCGAUGAAUAAGCCACGGCUAACUACGUGCCAGCAGCCGCGGUAAUACGUAGGUGGCAAGCGUUGUCCGGAUUUAUUGGGUUUAAAGGGUGCGUAGGUGGUUUAAUAAGUCAGUGGUGAAAGCUGGUUGCUCAACAAUCAAGUUGCCAUUGAUACUGUUAGACUUGAGAGAAGUGGAGGCUGGUGGAAUGGAUGGUGUAGCGGUGAAAUGCAUAGAUAUCAUCCAGAACGUCAAUUGCGAAGGCAGCUGGCUGUACUUUUUCUGACACUGAGGCACGAAAGUGAGGGGAUCAAACAGGAUUAGAUAC